GUGGUGCUAGAGGAGAAGUCAAUGGAUCACUAAAGGCAGCAGAAUUCAUCCCGAGGGAACCAUGAAUGUCUGUUGAAUCUGGGCGAAAGUGGUGUUUCGACUGACCAACUGACAGACCGACCAACCAACAUUAUCAUCCCUAAGGCCAAGGAGCUACCACGGUGGAAAACUCCAGAAAACCAAUAUGUGGCAUUCUCAAAUUGAAACAGUAUGCCACUGUUCUCUGGACCUCACUGCCAUCCAUCCCUCCAGCUGUCCCUCCAUUGCAGCUGCCUUAGUCUCAGAGCCAGACCUCGGUGAACAACCCAACAUGACCAACACAGAAGAGAUCCUGUUUUGUGCAUUUCACAGCUGCUGUGUAGUAAGUACUUUUGC
This is a long non-coding RNA of Thunnus maccoyii (southern bluefin tuna), 375 nucleotides long. RefSeq lists it as uncharacterized. The record is from RefSeq and is a predicted model, not a curated record. The transcript has 3 exons. NCBI's taxonomy places the organism in Eukaryota, Metazoa, Chordata, Actinopteri, Scombriformes, Scombridae.